GGCCUCCUAGCUCAGUAGAGCGUUGGCUGUACUAAAGCCUUCCCCUUGUUAGCGUGGGUUCAAGUCCCACCGAGGCUG
RNAcentral lists this transfer RNA (78 nucleotides) under Schistocephalus solidus. It matches the Rfam family "tRNA". From Rfam's summary of the family: Transfer RNA (tRNA) molecules are approximately 80 nucleotides in length. Their secondary structure includes four short double-helical elements and three loops (D, anti-codon, and T loops). Lineage: Eukaryota; Metazoa; Platyhelminthes; Cestoda; Diphyllobothriidea; Diphyllobothriidae. The record is from Rfam by way of RNAcentral.